Non-coding RNA from Callorhinus ursinus (northern fur seal), 436 nucleotides. NCBI's taxonomy places the organism in Eukaryota, Metazoa, Chordata, Mammalia, Carnivora, Otariidae. The record is from RefSeq and is a predicted model, not a curated record.
GGUUAUUUCUUCAAUCUUUUUUAAAAUAGUGUCUUCUCAUUUUUCCCAUGUAUUAUAGCAUAGUUUGUAUUUUAUAACAUUCAUUACUCAGAUUGACAAAAGCUGCCCUACCUCCCCACUGAUAACCUUUAAAAUUUAAUUCUCUUGGCCCUAGGGAAAAAACACUAGCUUGCAAACUGGAUUUACAGUAGUAUUCCUUUCUCUGGGUUUCACUUUCUGUGGUUUCAGUUAACCGGAGGUCAACUGCAGUCUGGAAGCAGGCGAUCCUUCUGACCUGUCGUCAGACGGUCAGUAGCCUAGUGCUACGUCACAAUGCCUGCAUCAUUUACUUCUCUUCGUCUCAUCACAUAAGCAUUUUGACAUCACAUUAUCACAGGAGGGGAGUCUGAAGCCUUCACCAGAUUGCCCAAGGAAUUAGUGUCAUAAAAACAAUUAA